UUCGAAUGACAUUAAAAUUUAUAAAUAGACAGAAAAGAAAUAACCAUACGUAUUCAUUUAUUAUUGAUCGAUUAAUUGAUAUACGCUGUGAUGCAAUUCAGCGCAGUUUACCGCGAAGCUUCAAGAAUCUUCUUUAACAGCACAAAUUACGACAUCCCAAAAAGGACACAAAAAUUUUCAACAUCAAACACCAAACGUCUCGUAACGAAAGCAAGUCAUAUCUUUAAAAGACGAGUUCUGACGGAGAUGAUUACGACUUCGUAGUAGUCGUUGAAUUUGUAUCUCGGGGACGGCCAGGGCAAAGAAAAAUAGACCUCGUUCCAUCAAAAUGGAUUGAAUAUGAUAAGAAAAAAGAGAAACUCAUGAUUAAUUUAUGCCAUCACCUUAUGGAAAAGAAGAUUUCCAAUUAAUAACAGAUUUAGCUGAUGCAGAAGAUUGGGUCUCCUACAGCAUUAAAGUGAAAACUAAAACAAAAACUUAUGCCGAUGGGAUAAGAAACUUAAAAAGUUGGAAGAGCAACUGUAUGCAUUCACCGAGAGUGCAGCUGAUCCAAUAACAGUGGCCGCUGCAAUUGAAGAAUCAUUAAAAAUCGAAAAUUUGAAAAGAAAAGUAGACGAUUUAAAAGAGAUGAUGACUGUGUCACAAAUUCCGGACAAAGAUUCCGCAGACGCAAAAAAAAAAUGUGAAAACGUCUGUUUCGUAAAAUAAUUAUUUUAAAAAUGUGCAUUACUCAUCAAAACUACAUAUUAAAGCAGUUUUAAAAUUUAU
This is a long non-coding RNA of Acromyrmex echinatior (Panamanian leafcutter ant), 768 nucleotides long. The record is from RefSeq and is a predicted model, not a curated record. NCBI's taxonomy places the organism in Eukaryota, Metazoa, Arthropoda, Insecta, Hymenoptera, Formicidae.